Molecule: microRNA precursor, 190 nt
Filed under: Oryza sativa Indica Group (long-grained rice)
Lineage: Eukaryota; Viridiplantae; Streptophyta; Magnoliopsida; Poales; Poaceae
Description: MIR812 microRNA precursor family
Rfam family: MIR812 microRNA precursor family
Source: Rfam by way of RNAcentral
AAAAAGACAAACCCUGUGUUUCCGUGUCCAACUUUGACUGUCCGUCUCAUAUGAAAUUUUUUUAUAAUUCGUAUUUUCGUUGUUGUUAGAUGAUAAAAUAUGAUUAAUAUUUUAUGCGUGACUUGUCUUUUUAUUUUUUUUAAUAUUUUUUUCAAAUAAGAUGGACGGUCAAACGUUGGGCACGAAAAGC